GUGGGGAAUUUUCCGCAAUGGGCGAAAGCCUGACGGAGUGACGCCGCGUGUGGGACGAAGGCCUUCGGGUCGUAAACCACUGUCAGUGGGAAAGAUGGGUGUCGGCGCGAUAACCGCCGGCAUUUGACGGUACCUGCAGAGGAAGCCCCGGCUAACUCUGUGCCAGCAGCCGCGGUAAGACAGAGGGGGCAAGCGUUGCUCGGAAUUACUGGGCGUAAAGGGCGCGUAGGCGGGAUGGCAAGUCGGUCGUGAAAUCCCUCGGCUCAACUGAGGAUCGUCGAUCGAUACUGCCGUUCUUGAGGAUUGCAGAGGAGACUGGAAUUCCCGGUGUAGCGGUGAAAUGUGUAGAGAUCGGGAGGAACACCGGUGGCGAAGGCGGGUCUCUGGGCAAUUCCUGACGCUGAGGCGCGAAAGCGUGGGGAGCAAACGGGAUUAGAAACCCCAGUAGUCC
This 451-nucleotide ribosomal RNA is filed under the name uncultured bacterium. RNAcentral's name for it is "bacterial SSU rRNA". It matches the Rfam family "Bacterial small subunit ribosomal RNA", at positions 354 to 796 of the family's 1533-position model. The record is from RNAcentral.